CAUUGGUGCCGCUUCCCAUCCCCCAGCGUUCCGCUUGGUGAUUCAUUUCUCCAAGCAGCCAAUCGGAAUGCUCAGCGUCGCCAUUCUAAUUAACAUACCAUUUUGUGCGCUGCCCAUUUAGUCCGGGCUCCGAACAGUUUCUGAUUAUUAUUGUGUUUGAAACCGACGGGGAAGUGCCUGAUCCACCGAAACCCGCUGCCAAGAAGGGCGCCAAGAAAGCUCUGUCCAAACCGGCGAGCAAGUCUGGCAAGAAGCGCAAGAGGUCGAGGAAGGAGAGUUACAAAGUGAUGAAGCAGGUUCACCCCGACACCGGCAUCUCCUCCAAGGCCAUGAGCAUCAUGAAUUCAUUCGUGAACGAUAUCUUCGAGCGCAUCGCGGGUGAGGCUUACCGCCUGGCAGACUACAACAAGCGGUCCACCAUCAGCUCCCGGGAGAUCCAGACCACCGUGCGCCUGCUGCUGCCCGGGGACCUGGCCAAGCACGCCGUGUCCGAAGGGACAAUGGCGGUGACCAAGUACACCAGCUCCAACUGAAGAGAAGUUUACAGACAAAACAAACGGGAAAUUCAAAGGAUCAUUUAAGAGCCACUCACGCUUUCAGUAAAAGAGUUACAAAAUAUUGAGCCAUGGACUUGAGACAGCUGCACCAUAGACCCUGAAAGUGACAUCAGGAAUAUCUUCUCCGCAAGUUACAGUGAGCAUCUGGGUUAAAACUGAUCAACAGCACAAGGAAAAUAUGUGCGAAAGUCUGAGAUGCAUAUUCCCACAUAGCUGUCCAGAACACAGCAGGUAACCGUUUGAAUUUUGUUGAGAAAUCUGUCCGCGACCAAGGCAGUUCAUACUGGAUUGGAAAAUGCAACUAUGGGUGAGAUUUGGGGUAUUGCAAGUUUCUGAGAAAAGAGUGAGUCGGGGAUCGGUGCAGGCUGAGUGAAGGGAGUGGGCAAUGUGUUUAGUUUGGGGACUGACACAGACUGCGAGAGGGGAGUGGGCAGUGAGAUUAGUUUGGGGACUGACGCAGUCUGCGAGAGGGGAGUGGGCAGUGAGAUUAGUUUGGGGACUGACACAGACUGCGAGAGGGGAGUGGGCAGUGAGAUUAGUUUGGGGACUGACACAGUCUGCGAGAGGGGAGUGGGCAGUGAGAUUAGUUUGGGGACUGACGCUGUUUGCUAGAAGGAGUGGGCAUUGAUAUUAGUUUGCGGACUGAUAAGGGCUGUAUGGAGAGCGUGUGCAAUUGGCUUUGUUUGGGGAUUGACAAAGUCUGUUGGUAGAGUGUGUGCAGUUGAAUUAAUGUGGGAACUGACAUGGGCUGUGGGAAGAGAGUGCGAAGUGGGAGUGUUUUGGUGGUUGACACAGAUCUUUAGGGAGAAGGCUAGGUAUUGGGUUUAUCGUGGGGACUCGCGCGGGGUCUUGGAGUGAAAGUGGGAUGUACACGUAUUUUGGGGACUAACACGGGACUGUGGGGAGAGACUGGAGCUGCAGAGCUCUUUUGGGAACUGACCCAGGUUGUGGGAGAGAGUCAGGCAGUGUAGUUUGGACUGACACUGAUCUGUGUGGUGGGAGUGGUGAGUCUGAGUACUUAGGCAGAAAACACAGGCCUGUGGGGAGACAUUGAAGAUGUGGCAGCAUUUUGAGGACUGACAUGGGGCCUUGGGAGAGACUGACGCUGUGGGAAUAUUUUGGGGACUGACAAAGGGCUGCAGGGAGAAAGUGGACCAUUGUGAAAAUUCUGGAUACUGACACAGGGCUGUGCUGGGAAAGUGGGAUUGUGGGAAAUUUUGGGGUGCCGCAGGUCGUUGGCGAGAGUGGGCGUCAGUGAUUUUGGGGACUAACACACGGCUGCCUGCUGAAGGUACGCUGAUAUUGCUUACCCCUUCUUGAUAGGAGAGUGGCCUCGAAUAUCGUGUUCCAAAUGAAGGCUGGAGUCUUCGAAUGCAUUGAAUGUGGAUGGUACCCUGACUUUGAACAUUGCAGUGAGGAUAAGCGUUGCUUCAUCUGCGAGAAGUCGAAGCUUCUGUGCUCAGAUCUUUCUGAAAAGAUCCAGGAUCUCUGUCAACAGUCAAUAGGGUCGACUUAAACAAGUGGCAAAACCGUCUUUAUCUCACCGACUCACAUUACAUCAUCAGCUCUGCCCCUCACCCUUGCCUUAUUAUCUUUCCCUCUAUCGCAAUCUUACCCACCGUCUCGCCCACUCUUCACCUUCGUUCCUCUAAACACUCUCUCUCAUCCCUCUCCACUCCCGCCUCUUCCAUUUCAUUCGCAUUUUCUCCCUCCCGCAUCUCGCCUCCCUUUCCCCGAACUCUUCCUCUUCUAUCCCUGUCUCUCUCUCGAUUCUCUAUUCCCCCUCUACACACUCUCCCAAUCCCUCUCUUUCCCUUUUAUCGAACUCAACUGGCUCUCCCGCUUCUGUCUUCAGCUACUCUCACCUCAAUCAUGCGCGUCAAUGUUCUCGAUACCCCAGUCCUGUGGAAUAAGAGUGCAUGUAUUCGCCUUAUCUGUGCCCCUUGUAGUUUUGUACAGCUCUACAUGGUCACAAAAUAAAGCCUGAAAAUUUCCGACUGCACCAUAACUCAGCUCCUAAAAUCCUGGCAGAAACUUCGGAAUUCUCCCUCUGUAAUCUUUCCAGUUCGUUGAGAUUUUUCUCAGAGCAAGGCAAGCAGAACUAAACUCCAUACUCCAUGUGCGGCCCGACCGACGUCAUUUGCAACUGCAACGUGACCUCCAACUCCCGUACUCAGUGUCCUGACUGAUGAAGGCCAGCGUGUCAAAUGUCCUGUCCACCAGUAUCGCAUCUUCUCUACCGGAUUCACGGUCUGUUUUAUUAUCUGUGACGCAGACCACCUGAGAUUUGUUCUUUUGAAGGAUCAGUGGGGCACUAAUAUGUAAAAUUACCGUCAAAUGCAACAAGCUAAAAAAAUGCCGCAAAAAAUGUGGAGGUGGUGCUCAUACGUUCAAGAAAAUGCUAGCGGAAGGGAAGAAGGUGUUUCUGGUUCAUUGAGAUUUCGGCCUCCUGUUCCUCAUCAACCCUCCUUCCCAGACGACCAUCCUUGUCACCGUCCGCCAAGACUUCCUCUGCAGCCCUCUCCGUUUCCGCCACCGCAUUCUUCUUCCACACUUCUUGACUCUAGCAACCCUCCGUUCACUGCGCUGCGUGCCGUCUUCGUCAUCUCCUCCUUCUCCAACACCUCUCCACGUCUCCCUGAUCUGCUUGAUCCCCUGCAGGUCCACCCCGCUUCCAUUAACCGUCUUCCUCCUUUACACGUCUCCCUCUCACUGUUUAUAUAGAAGUAUGGCGAGGAAGGGGGAGAGGUGACGUCUAGUGUUACACCAACCAGCUCCCUUCAAACGGAUAUUGAUCUCUCGGUUCUGAGCCUU
This is a long non-coding RNA of Hypanus sabinus (Atlantic stingray), 3371 nucleotides long. RefSeq lists it as uncharacterized. The record is from RefSeq and is a predicted model, not a curated record. NCBI's taxonomy places the organism in Eukaryota, Metazoa, Chordata, Chondrichthyes, Myliobatiformes, Dasyatidae. The transcript has 4 exons.